Orcinus orca (killer whale) is the source of this 2898-nucleotide long non-coding RNA. RefSeq lists it as uncharacterized. NCBI's taxonomy places the organism in Eukaryota, Metazoa, Chordata, Mammalia, Artiodactyla, Delphinidae. The transcript is spliced from 4 exons. The record is from RefSeq and is a predicted model, not a curated record.
CCGCCCGCCCAGCGCUGAGGUGGACCAGGCCUGCGGCGAGGGCGCGCCCCCAGGCGGGCGUGGGCGCGGGCGCGCGCGUUCCCGGGACUCGGUGUCUGUGGGGUGCCCUUGCGAGGCAGGGCCUGCCACCUCCAGAUCGCUACCUGAGCAUCUUUCCCUGUAGUUACUUGAGUCGGCUCCAUCUUCUCCCCGCCCUUCUCUGUGAGGUGAAGACACGGAGGAGGUAAUUCCUAUUACAGUCCUUGGGGGAUUUUCCAAAACAUUAAUGGAAAGACAGUCUGAUGACAAGAUUCCUCAUGAAGAGAAGGAAGACUGUCCAUAAAAUAUGCCAUGAGCAAAGACAAGGAAACAAGACUGUAGAUGCAUUCUGUGGUUCCAGGAAUUCAGAAGCAUAGUCUCAGCCCUCCUGUGUCUGACUGAGAGACACAUAUUGAAAUCAUCACAAUACAAGGUGUCAAUCAAGUUAAAAUUAAAAGAAGAAAGAGAGAAGAGGUAGAAAGAGAGAGAAGAGAGACGAGAGAGAAGAAAACUGGUUGCUUUAGGUUAUGUGCUCAACUGUUGGCUAUGGAAAGAUGGCAUUUUGAUAUUUUCACCAAGAUUGCACAUAAUAGACAAGGCUGCCCACUCUCACCACUAUUAUUCAACAUAGAUUUGGAAGUUUUACCCAUAGCAAUCAGAGAAGAAAAAGAAAUAAAAAGAAUCCAGGGCCUCCCUGGUGGCGCAGUGGUUGAGAGUCCGCCUGCCGAUGCAGGGUCACGGGUUCGUGCCCCGGUCUGGGAAGAUCCCAUAUGCCAUGGAGCGGCUAGGCCCAUGAGCCAUGGCCACUGAGCCUGUGCGUCCGGAGCCUGUGCUCCUCAACGAGAGAGGCCACAACAGUGAGAGACCCGCAUACUGCAAAAAAAAAAAAAAAAAGAAUCCAACUCAGAAAAGAAGAAGUAAAGCUGUCAUUGUUUGCAGAUGACAUGAUAUUAUACAUACAGAAUCCUAAAGAUGCUAGCAGAAAACUAUUAGAGCUAAUCAAUGAAUUUGGUAAAGUAGCAGGAUACAAAAUUAAUGCACAGAAAUCUCUUGCAUUCCUAUACACUAAUGAUGAAAAAUCUGAAAGUGAAAUUAAGAAAACACUCACAUUUACCAUUGCAACCAAAAGAAUAAAAUAUCCAGGAAUAAACCUACCUAAGGAGACAAAAGACCUGUAUGCAGAAAAUUAUAAGACACUGAUGAAAGAAAUUAAAGAUGAUACAAAUAGAUGGAGAGAUAUAACAUGUUCUUGGAUUGGAAGAAUCAACAUUGUAAAAAUGACUCUACUACCCAAGGCAAUCUACAGAUUCAAUGCAAUCCCUAUCAAACUACCACUGGCAUUUUUCAAAGAAUUAGAACAAAAAAUUCACAAUUUGUAUGGAAACACAAAGACCCCAAAGAGCCAAAGCAAUCUUGAGAAAGAAAAAUGGAGCUGGAGGAAUCAGGCUCCCUGACUUCAGACUAUACUACAAAGCUACAGUAAUCAAGACAGUAUGGUACUGGCACAAAAACAGAAAUAUAGAUCAAUGGAACAGGAUAGAAAGCCCAGAGAUAAACCCACACACAUAUGGUCACCUUAUCUUUGAUACAGGAGGCAAGAAUAUAGAGUGGAGAAAAGACAGCCUCUUCAAAAAGUGGUGCUGGGAAAACUGGACAGCUACGUGUAAAAGAAUGAAAUUAAAACACUCCCUAACACCAUACACAAAAAUUAACUCAAAAUGGAUUAAAGACCUAAAUGUAAGGCCAGACACUAUUAAACUCUUAGAGGAAAACAUAGGCAGAACACUCUAUGACAUAAAUCACAGCAAGAUCCUUUCUGACCCACCUUCUAGAGAAAUGGAAAUAAAAGCAAACAUAAACAAAUGGGACAUAAUGAAACUUAAAAGCUUUUGCACAGCAAAGGAAACCAUAAACAAGACGAAAAGACAGCCCUCAGAAUGUGAGAAAAUAUUUGCAAAUGAAGCAAGUGAUGAAGGAUUACUCUCCAAAAUAUACAAGCAGCUCAUGCAGCUCAAUAUCAAAAAAAACCAAACAACCCAAUCCAAAAAUGGACAGAAGACCUAAAUAGACAUUUCUCCAAAGAAGAUAUACAGAUUGCCAACAAACACAUGAAAGAAUGCUCAACAUCAUUAAUCAUUAGAGAAAUGUAAAUCAAAACUACAACGAGGUAUCAUCUCACACCAGUCAGAAUGGCCAACAUCAAAAAAUCUACAAACAAUAAAUGCUGGAGAGGGUGUAGAGAAAAGAGAACCCUCUUGCACUGUUGGUGGGAAUGUAAAUUGAUACAGCCACUAUGGAGAACAGUAUGGAGGUUCCUUAAAAAAAACUGAAAAUAGAACUACCAUAUGACCCAGCAAUCCCACUAUUGGGCAUAUACCUUGAGAAAGCCAUAAUUCAAAAAGAGUCAUGUACCAAAAUGUUCAUUGCAGCUCUAUUUACAAUAGCCAGGGCAUGGAAGCAACCUAAGUGUCCAUCAACAGAUGAAUGGAUAAAGAAGAUGUGGUGCAUAUAUACAAUGGAAUAUUACUCAGCCAUAAAAAGAAAAGAUAUUGAGUUAUUUGUAGUGAGGUGGAUGGACCUAGAGUCUGUCAUACAGAGAGAAGUAUGUCAGAAAGAGAAAGACAAAUACCGUAUGCUAACACAUAUGUAUGGAACCUAAAAAAAACAAAAAACGGUCAUGAAGAACCUAGGGGAAAGACGAGAAUAAAGACACAGACCUUCUAGAGAAUGGACUUGAGGAUACAGGGAGGGGGAAGGGUAAGCUGGGACAAAGCGAGAGAGAGGCAUGGACAUAUAUACACUACCAAACGUAAAAUAGAUAGCUAGUGGGAAGCAGCCGCAUAGCACAGGGAGGGCAGCUCGGUGCUUUGUGACCACCUA